This 1285-nucleotide ribosomal RNA is filed under the name Curtobacterium sp. RNAcentral describes it as "bacterial SSU rRNA". It matches the Rfam family "Bacterial small subunit ribosomal RNA", at positions 56 to 1354 of the family's 1533-position model. Lineage: Bacteria; Bacillati; Actinomycetota; Actinomycetes; Micrococcales; Microbacteriaceae. The record is from RNAcentral.
UGCAGUCGAACGAUGAUGCCCAGCUUGCUGGGUGGAUUAGUGGCGAACGGGUGAGUAACACGUGAGUAACCUGCCCCUGACUCUGGGAUAAGCGUUGGAAACGACGUCUAAUACUGGAUAUGACUGCCGGCCGCAUGGUCUGGUGGUGGAAAGAUUUUUUGGUUGGGGAUGGACUCGCGGCCUAUCAGCUUGUUGGUGAGGUAAUGGCUCACCAAGGCGACGACGGGUAGCCGGCCUGAGAGGGUGACCGGCCACACUGGGACUGAGACACGGCCCAGACUCCUACGGGAGGCAGCAGUGGGGAAUAUUGCACAAUGGGCGAAAGCCUGAUGCAGCAACGCCGCGUGAGGGAUGACGGCCUUCGGGUUGUAAACCUCUUUUAGUAGGGAAGAAGCGAAAGUGACGGUACCUGCAGAAAAAGCACCGGCUAACUACGUGCCAGCAGCCGCGGUAAUACGUAGGGUGCAAGCGUUGUCCGGAAUUAUUGGGCGUAAAGAGCUCGUAGGCGGUUUGUCGCGUCUGCUGUGAAAUCCCGAGGCUCAACCUCGGGCUUGCAGUGGGUACGGGCAGACUAGAGUGCGGUAGGGGAGAUUGGAAUUCCUGGUGUAGCGGUGGAAUGCGCAGAUAUCAGGAGGAACACCGAUGGCGAAGGCAGAUCUCUGGGCCGUAACUGACGCUGAGGAGCGAAAGCGUGGGGAGCGAACAGGAUUAGAUACCCUGGUAGUCCACGCCGUAAACGUUGGGCGCUAGAUGUAGGGACCUUUCCACGGUUUCUGUGUCGUAGCUAACGCAUUAAGCGCCCCGCCUGGGGAGUACGGCCGCAAGGCUAAAACUCAAAGGAAUUGACGGGGGCCCGCACAAGCGGCGGAGCAUGCGGAUUAAUUCGAUGCAACGCGAAGAACCUUACCAAGGCUUGACAUACACCGGAAACGGCCAGAGAUGGUCGCCCCCUUGUGGUCGGUGUACAGGUGGUGCAUGGUUGUCGUCAGCUCGUGUCGUGAGAUGUUGGGUUAAGUCCCGCAACGAGCGCAACCCUCGUUCUAUGUUGCCAGCGCGUUAUGGCGGGGACUCAUAGGAGACUGCCGGGGUCAACUCGGAGGAAGGUGGGGAUGACGUCAAAUCAUCAUGCCCCUUAUGUCUUGGGCUUCACGCAUGCUACAAUGGCCGGUACAAAGGGCUGCGAUACCGUAAGGUGGAGCGAAUCCCAAAAAGCCGGUCUCAGUUCGGAUUGAGGUCUGCAACUCGACCUCAUGAAGUCGGAGUCGCUAGUAAUCGCAGAUCAGCA